RNAcentral lists this long non-coding RNA (2394 nucleotides) under Fukomys damarensis (Damara mole-rat). Its description in RNAcentral is "lncRNA (ENSFDAG00000026385.1)". The record is from RNAcentral. Lineage: Eukaryota; Metazoa; Chordata; Mammalia; Rodentia; Bathyergidae.
CAUGCCAGAUUCUGAAGUCACAAAAACUCAAAACGUAUCAGCCAUUCUGGAGUCAAGAGAAUCCUAGCUCUGUCUUAGAGUGGCAAACUCUACUGAAACUGCCCCUCUAUGGGCCAAGCCUUGUCGGUCGUCUGACCCUCCUGCUGUUGGCAUGGAUGCACCACAGAACAAGGCCUCCACCGUUACCUGUUUGAGCAGCUGGAAUCUAGCCCUCCAGAACCCUGCUGGGACCCCUGGGCAGUCCGCAGGUGUCAGCCCUGGUGAAUGAACUUGGUCCUCCUGUCCUGCUCUACUGCACAAGGCCACGCCCAGCUUUCUGCGGCCCUGGCCCUGUCCACGGUGCUAACGCCCAUCGCGUCCCAAGGCUUGUGUAGCUCUUCCCACCUCAACCCUUCACCCCUGCCUCCAACUUUAAGAUCUCAGAAGAUCUCCCCAGUCACCAGGGAUGAAUUCUGAGCUCACGUUCUGGAAUGCUGCCAGGAAGGAAGCGGCAUUGGUGUAAAGAAUCACACAAAAGGCCGCAGGUGCCAUGUCAUUCUGCACACCUGCUCCAGGCUACUUGUGGGCAAAGUUCAAAAGUAUGGCUAACCUUCUGGGGACAGUUCCCUCACCCUACCCAGGACCUUUGAAGAAGAGAAAGACAACACCAGAUGUGAGGAGGAAGGAAGCCCUCCCUGCCCUGUGCCCAGGGGCCUCCGCUCCCUCCACCCAUUGAAGUGUCUGCAGCUGCUCCUACUGCUCUCCUUGGUCGACCUUUCCAGACCUGCUGGCUCUCGAUCUACCAUUUGCAACACUGAGCGCUCUUGUCAUUGUACAUCUCAGGUCUGUCUUCGCUACUGGACUGUGAACUCCGAGACACACCUGUGUGUCUCAUCCACUGCCGCAUUCCUGUCGCUACCGUGGUGCCUGGCACCUGGUGAGCACGCAGGUGGGAGGACAACAGCUUAGACAGAUUCGUCUGUUUUACCACAUGGCUCUCCGGCAUGCACUCUGUUCGGCCCCAAGCUUGCAGCAGCAGGAAAAAAGGCUUCCUCCCUCGCCUCACCCAGGGGCAGCUGGGAUCUGCGGGGAGGUGUAUCAUAUCAAUUCAUGUAAAGGAGAGAUGCAUAGUACCAACAGAGAGCGCAGAAGAAGGUCAUGUGAUGAGCUCCUCUCCCUCUCUCUAUUGCAUCUGAGCCAUCCUAGGGUCCCCAGUGCCCAGCACGGCAUCCGGCACAAGGUAGGCAUCCCACAAACAGUGAGUGGGAUUGAACUCACCGCAGGAAGGCUAGUUGAGCCUUUGCCGCUCUCUUCUCCCCCUCCCUGGGCCUAUUUUGCUGCCAUUCCUUCCCUGUCCUCCCGGGAGGCCCUGCAUACCUUGAGCGCUGACUGAAAGACCUGAUAGCGGUGCCUUCUAUUCUGGGCACAGGUGGGAUAGCCACGUGCAUAUGGAGGCUGGGAGCCUCUUUGUGUUACCUGGGAGUUUGUGUCAACGAGCACCUGGGUCUCUAGAGAAGGACCCAAGUCUUCAGUGGAGCCAUGGUUUAUGGACCCAGCUCCAGGAGCCGAAAAAACCAAUUAGCCUUCUCUGCUUCUCCACCUGGAGGCAGAAUAAUUCUAGUAAAGUCCUUCCUCCUGGACAGAGACUUCGUCUGCCCGGAUCUUAGCUCUGAGAUGUCCCCAUCCAGCCUUUCACCCCUCUUGACUGACGAUGCUCAAGUCAGGAGUUCUGAGCUUCCUAGGCCAGUUUUCUUACAUUAAAACCAUGACUACUUACUGAUACACUGGAAGCCUUUUCCAGAUUUCCAUUUUUUCUAAACCUUAUUUCUCCAUCACAAUAGGAUUUAAAAAUCUUUGCCUGGCUAGAUCAUUUAUUUACAUACACAGUCAUUUACAUAAAGAUUUUUUUUAGGUGCCUACAAUAGCCAGGUGCUGGAUUAGUCACCAAGAAGGCGGAGGUGAAUCAAAGACAUGGUCCCUGUCCGCGGGAAGCUUGUAGUUUGUGAGGAAGUUCACACUUACCUGUGCUUACCGGCACAGUACAGUCUGUUAAGGGCAGCCCGGCUUUUAAUCUAGGACAUCAGAUUCUUUGUUCACUGACUAUCUAUUGUUCACCUGUGACACAUCAGGCAUGAAUAAUAGCUAUAGGGCUGAUGCAGGCCACCCCUCACACAGAUGAAGCACAAAGAAGUCUGUGAACAGCCACUGCACCCUGCAUUUGUGAGAACGCCAGGAGCUAGAAACUGGGUGCCAGGCUCCCCAGGGUGGUGGAGAAGACUGCCUGAGGUGGGAGCCAGGAGCAUUUGCACCUAGCAGAGGUGAACAUGAACAGACAGAGCCUCUCAGUACGACUGGGUGGUGUGGAAGCUGACUCAUGUUGUUCUCCUUACUGCAGCCCCUAAUGCUGGGCCCACA